GACGAACGCUGGCGGCGUGCUUAACACAUGCAAGUCGAACGGAAAGGCCCUGCUUUUGUGGGGUGCUCGAGUGGCGAACGGGUGAGUAACACGUGAGUAACCUGCCCUUGACUUUGGGAUAACUUCAGGAAACUGGGGCUAAUACCGGAUAGGAGCUCCUGCUGCAUGGUGGGGGUUGGAAAGUUUCGGCGGUUGGGGAUGGACUCGCGGCUUAUCAGCUUGUUGGUGGGGUAGUGGCUUACCAAGGCUUUGACGGGUAGCCGGCCUGAGAGGGUGACCGGCCACAUUGGGACUGAGGUACGGCCAAGAGUCAUACGGGAGGCAGCAGUGGGAAAUAGUGCGCAAUGGGCGGAAGCCGGAUGCAGCAACGCCGCGUGCGGGAUGACGGCCUUCGGGGUGUAAACCGCUUUCGCCUGUGACGGAGCGUGAGUGACGGUAAUGGGUGAAGAAGCACCGGCUAACUACGUG
RNAcentral lists this ribosomal RNA (468 nucleotides) under uncultured bacterium. RNAcentral describes it as "partial 16S ribosomal RNA". It matches the Rfam family "Bacterial small subunit ribosomal RNA", at positions 28 to 507 of the family's 1533-position model. The record is from RNAcentral.